Molecule: long non-coding RNA, 902 nt
Filed under: Mustela putorius furo (domestic ferret)
Lineage: Eukaryota; Metazoa; Chordata; Mammalia; Carnivora; Mustelidae
Description: lncRNA (ENSMPUG00000030791.1)
Source: RNAcentral
GGGUGGGAAGAAAGGCAGCAGGAAAUACAACUAACCCUUCAGUCAGAAUCGUGUUUAAAGCCUGGAGAACGUUAUAGUUUAGUCUCCAGGGUAUGGGCGGGACUGAGCUUGCCCGGGCACUUCCCAGGGGGCCUUUCAUGGACUCCCAGAACUGCUGGGCUGAAGAGAGUUUGAGGGACCACCCGUGCAAACACGGGGCCUUCGUGUCCCAUCGGUUGUUCAUUUCGGCUUCUAGGGGCGACCUUUGAUCUCAUCCAAAGUCUGUGUGGCAGGAGGCGCCCAUCUUACAUUUUCUUCCCGAAGAAACACCUUUGAAAGACACGAGCUGAGUGCUGACUGAAUGUUUCUAUCUUCUGUCAUAUCACUCGUGCUUGAUGACUCACCCAGGGACCUGACGGAGAGAGUCACUCACAACAAAAAGUUCUGUACUGAUGCUGAUUUGCACAUUUCUUGCCGAACAGAUGAAGGUGCAUCUUCUUGUGUGUCAUGCAUAUUCUGGUCCUGAAAUCAGAUUAAAGUUUUCCAUACUAAUAAAAACAAACAAAAUUCUGCUACUUGUAAUUGUUUUCUAGCACAGGCAUUUCAAACCAGGUUAGAAGUCAAUUAAGCUGUAUUAUUUGUUACUUUCCCUUAUGGAGGCAAAUGAAAUUGUAUACAUGCAAAAAAUAAAAUGAUGCAUUUAUGUGGUCUUAUUUUUAUAUAUAAAUCUCUUUUGAUUAAAAUAAAAGCUAUUUAUAAACUUUAUUUUAUCAUACUUCAUGUUAGAAUUUAGCUUAUAAAAGUAAUAUGCAGUUUUAUAAUACAAUAAAAUCCAUACAAUUAUUGAAAUAUUGGAGCAUACAUGAUUUUUUUUUUUUACAUUUUCAAGUAUGAAGUUGGAUUCCCCCACCCCUGACUGCCCC